UCUAUUCAUAGAAAAGGAUUACAAGCAAUCGGGGACCAAGCCUUAUAAAAAUGUACAACAAUACGACACAAACUGCGAAAAAAUAUAUUAAGUUUGAAACAAACCAUACAAACAUAUUAAGACAAUAGCCAAAUGGCUUGAAACUCAAUUUCGAGAAAUGAGCAAACUCUGCUUAAAUCAAGUCGUUAUUGCCUAUCAAGAAGAAGUAAGGACGAAAACCCUCGCCAAUAUGUUGGAGUUCAACCAUCAUGGCAGAGAAGCCACCAUGAUGCGUAGAGCCUUGUUAUAUCAUCGCCUUUAUUGCAAUGGACAUGCCUCAGGCUAACUUCAAAAAAUAGAUGCAAAGAACUUGAGCAAAUUAGUCAAUCUUGAUAUGCCCAAAAACUCCCAAUCGAGAACCAAAUCCUUCACACAACGCUAUCAUCAAAAUAAUUAUUGAGACAAUGUUUGCAUCAAUGAAGUCAACCCACCAUGACAGUGGGUGGGAGGGAGAGCCAAAGGGGUCGCUAAUAGUUAACGCAUUAUUUUCCUGAAAAAAAGACACUCACUUCUAUCUCGUUGGCGACCAAAGGUUG
Molecule: long non-coding RNA, 575 nt
Filed under: Gossypium barbadense (sea-island cotton)
Lineage: Eukaryota; Viridiplantae; Streptophyta; Magnoliopsida; Malvales; Malvaceae
Description: long non-coding RNA (GBAR_LNC010136)
Source: RNAcentral